RNAcentral lists this long non-coding RNA (924 nucleotides) under Sus scrofa (pig). RNAcentral describes it as "lncRNA (ENSSSCG00070008689.1)". The record is from RNAcentral. Lineage: Eukaryota; Metazoa; Chordata; Mammalia; Artiodactyla; Suidae.
GUAGCUCUGAUCAGACCCCUAGCCUGGGAACUUCCAUAUGCCGCAAGUGCAGCCUGGAAAAAGGAAAAAAAAAAAAAAAAAAAAAAGAAAGAAAAAGUGAGUAUUCAGUAAAGCUAAAAAGGCUAUCUCUAAUGCUUUCCCUCUGAAAUAUUGACUUAGAAUAAUUGGCUUCCCCUUUGGACAUAGGCAGUGGUGAAACAUAAUCCACAGUUGAUGUUACUGGGAAUUCAAUAGCACUUAGGACUCAGCUGUAACAUGUUCUGUAAUCAAUAUACACCUAAGUAACUCGUGCUCAUAUAUAACCUCAGAACAACUUCUUCUGUUAGAGUUUGGAGGAUGGGUUCUUCAUUUGGGGAGGUCUAUACUAUGAAAUUGGGAACCUCUUUAUCUCCUAUGGCAGCUCAAAGGGCUUGUUGUUGCAGGCAGCCCUGAACAUGGCAACCCGGGGCAACAUAUUCUGAUGAUGGCCUGGGGCCAGAGUCUGAGAUCUUUGCAGAGAGAAGCGCUCCUGUGGACUUCAGGCAAGGAGUGACCCAUCACCGACAUUCAGUUCGCUGGCCUUGCCUCGGGCUCCGUCACAUGAAAUAGUGGCUUAUCAUGUUUUUCCAUCAUAUGAUGUGGUCAAGAGAGCCCAAGCACUCACCUGCAAAACUCACUCUUCAUUCCGGAUACUUCUGCUCUACCCCUUUCUAGUUCUUGGCACGAAAUGCAAAGUUCCCUUCAGAAAGAAGACCUUGAAAGACAACUUGCUCCAACUGCCAAAUGCAAGGGGUGCCAUCCCUGAGCAGCCCCAGCCAAGCACAGGAAGACUUAUGACCCCAGGAGAGGCCACCUUAAGACCUGCCCACUGAACCCAGUGUAGACUGCUGGUACCAGGGACCCUUAGCAAAUAAAAUUCAUGUUCUUUUAAGCUAUAAUGUUGGG